UAAAGAAUUUCGGUAUGGGAUGGGGAUGCGUUCCAUUAGUUAGUUGGCGGGGUAACGGCCCACCAAGACAACGAUGGAUAGGGGUUCUGAGAGGAAGGUCCCCCACAUUGGAACUGAGACACGGUCCAAACUCCUACGGGAGGCAGCAGUGAGGAAUAUUGGUCAAUGGACGAGAGUCUGAACCAGCCAAGUAGCGUGAAGGAUGACUGCCCUAUGGGUUGUAAACUUCUUUUAUAUGGGAAUAAAACGUUCCACGUGUGGGAUUUUGUAUGUACCAUAUGAAUAAGGAUCGGCUAACUCCGUGCCAGCAGCCGCGGUAAUACGGAGGAUCCGAGCGUUAUCCGGAUUUAUUGGGUUUAAAGGGAGCGUAGGUGGAUUGUUAAGUCAGUUGUGAAAGUUUGCGGCUCAACCGUAAAAUUGCAGUUGAAACUGGCAGUCUUGAGUACAGUAGAGGUGGGCGGAAUUCGUGGUGUAGCGGUGAAAUGCUUAGAUAUCACGAAGAACUCCGAUUGCGAAGGCAGUUCACUGGACUGCAACUGACACUGAGGCUCGAAAGUGUGGGUAUCAAACAGGAUUAGAUACCCUGGUAGUCCACACAGUAAACGAUGAAUACUCGCUGUUUGCGAUAUACAGCAAGCGGC
This 641-nucleotide ribosomal RNA is filed under the name uncultured bacterium. RNAcentral's name for it is "bacterial SSU rRNA". It matches the Rfam family "Bacterial small subunit ribosomal RNA", at positions 202 to 847 of the family's 1533-position model. The record is from RNAcentral.